UCAAUGAUUUUUAAUUAAAUGGCCGCAGUAUAUUGACUGUGCAAAGGUAGCAUAAUAAUUAGUCUAUUAAUUGUGGACUUGUAUGAAUGAUUAUAUGAAGUAUUAUUUUUAUUAUUAAUAUAUUUUGAAUUUUAUUUUUUUGUUAAAAAGCUAAAUUGAUUUUUAGGGACGAGAAGACCCUAUAGAACUUAAAAUUUGUAUAUUUUGGUUAUUUAUUUUAUAUUACUUUUAGUUAAAUUUUUAUUUGGGGUGAAUUGUAAAUUUAAACUUUAUUUUUAUGUUUCAUUUAUAGUUGUUUUAUUUGAUCCAAUUUUUUUGAUUAUAAGAUUAAGUUACCUUAGGGAUAACAGCGUAAUUUAAGUGGGGAGUUCAUAUUUAAAUUUAAGAUUGCGACCUCGAUGUUGAAUUAAGAUUAGUAUAGGGGGUAGAAUUUCUAUAAUUAAGUCUGUUCGACUUUUAAAUUCUUACUUGAUCUGAGUUCAGACCGG
RNAcentral lists this ribosomal RNA (488 nucleotides) under Xestocephalus japonicus. RNAcentral describes it as "partial 16S ribosomal RNA". The stretch from base 343 to 488 matches the Rfam family "Bacterial large subunit ribosomal RNA", at positions 2473 to 2619 of the family's 2925-position model. The record is from RNAcentral. Lineage: Eukaryota; Metazoa; Arthropoda; Insecta; Hemiptera; Cicadellidae.